RNAcentral lists this unclassified non-coding RNA (285 nucleotides) under plant metagenome. RNAcentral's name for it is "partial contains small subunit ribosomal RNA, internal transcribed spacer 1, and 5.8S ribosomal RNA". The stretch from base 1 to 54 matches the Rfam family "Eukaryotic small subunit ribosomal RNA", at positions 1778 to 1831 of the family's 1831-position model. The record is from RNAcentral.
GGAAGUAAAAGGCGUAACAAGGUUUCCGUAGGUGAACCUGCGGAAGGAUCAUUAUUGUAUAACCGAGGUGCGAGGGCUGUCGCUGACCCGAAAGGUCGUGCACGCCCGAGUGCCCUCACACACAUCCAUCUCACCCCUAUGUGCACCACCGCGUGGGUCCCCCUUUGGCUUGUUCGGAGGGGGGCUUACGUUUUCACACAAACUUUGUAUGCAGUGUAGAAUGUAUUUUUUGUUUUUGCGAUCACGCAAUCAAUACAACUUUCAACAACGGAUCUCUUGGCUCUC